Anas platyrhynchos (mallard) is the source of this 1088-nucleotide non-coding RNA. NCBI's taxonomy places the organism in Eukaryota, Metazoa, Chordata, Aves, Anseriformes, Anatidae. The record is from RefSeq and is a predicted model, not a curated record.
CCUGUUUGAAAACUUCACUCAUCCUUGGCUGGAGCAUGUUGUGACAGCAUGAGGCAGAACAACAUCAAAUUAAGAACUCUACGUUGAACUACACUUGGAAAUUCUCUACCUGCACAAGUCCGGAUAUGCCCAAAGGAUAGGCACUGUGCAUCCUGAUAGACUACUAAAAUACAGGCUUUAGAAGAGUAAAAGGAAAAAAAAAGAGAUGACUUCACACAGAAACAGGAAAUGCCCUGGGUCAUUUUCUAUUGUCGAAGAACCAUUACUUUCAAGUGCUUUAGAGAUAAGUCACUGGUUGAGAAAUUUGUUUUCUAAAUGUGCCUUCUUUGCUUUCUAUCAUGUUGUAGGAUAACUGUGUCACUUAAUACUACACGUUUUACUUUUAUAUCUAAACUAAGAGGCUAGUAAAGAAAGCAAGGUUCCUCCUGGGCAAUUCAGGUUGUGGUCACGUUGUUUAGCUGUACCAAGCAGAAUAACAGCACUUCCAGAACAAGAAUUUAACCUAUGCCUGAAACAAUUCUGAGCACUUUUCUCCUCUCUUUCCAGGAAGCCCAAAUCCAACAUGUGAAGGUCAGUGGCGUGACUAUUCCACUCCAUCCACAUCUUCACAUGGGGUCAAGGAGAAGCCCAGAGUGCCCAACGCCAUGAUGACAUUCAGAGGAACAGUACGUAACGCCAGAGAACAGCACUAGCUUCUGAGGUCAAGACAGACAGGGGUGCUGCCAAGAAUAAAUGCAGCUAUGUCCUGGGUAUAAGAGCCAGACCGAUGAGUAAUACUACACUGAAAUACUGUAGUGGCUGCACUGUAACAUAUCCUGCUCCUUGGAUUUAGCCCGUCUUACAUAAGCAGUAAUCUUCUGGCCCCGGAACCUCAUCUUUUUGAGACACCUCAUAUUUUUGAGAUACUGCAGCAUCCAGUCUUGCAGCUUCUGCAUGAAACUAAUAAAUACGCAUAUAUCUUAAGAAAUAUCUUGGCAUUCAGCCAGUUUUACUACUUCUGCAUUGCACUGUUCUGGGUUUGUAUUGACCUCGUGCUCUAAUGUACUUCUUACUAAGUUUCUAGUAAAAUGACAGAACAACGGGUGAAA